This is a long non-coding RNA of Homo sapiens (human), 331 nucleotides long. The record is from Ensembl. NCBI's taxonomy places the organism in Eukaryota, Metazoa, Chordata, Mammalia, Primates, Hominidae.
UUGCUUUAUUGCUCUGCUCUUACCAUCUUGAAAUUCAUAAUCAUUGUCAAACAAAGAGUCCCAUGUUUUCUUUUGGACUGGGCCCUGCAAAUAAUGUAGCUGUACAUGGAGCUGAUGUUUGUAAGCAAAGCAUUCUGUUAUUUUCAGAAGGACCACUCAAAUGUGUCUGGAAAAGACCAAACAACCCCAGACGGCAAUGGUCUCCAAGGAAGGUGACCAUGAGAGAACAGGGAGGUGAACAGUACGCAACCAAGUGAAGAGGAAAGUGUGGCUGCUUGCACCAUCUAGCAGCCUUUCUUGUUCAGUGCACCUCAUUAAAACCACAGAAAAU